AACGGAUCUUGGCAUUACAGCAAGGAAAGCCGUGGAUACUGAAGCUUAUUGCUAUGUCUUGCCUCUUUUUGGCGGCGAAGAUGAUGAAAUCGGAGUUUUCCUUGAUCGAUUUUCAGAGGGGAGAAGGUUUCAUCUUCAAUACAUAGUCUAUACAGAGAAUGGAACUCCUGAUUCUCGGAACUCUUAAGUGGCGAAUGCGCUCAAUAACUCCUUUCGCAUUCGUGCAUUUCUUCCUGUCUUUAUUCAUGCUGAAAGAUCCGUCACUGAGAGAUGCUCUCAAAACCAGAGAUAGAGAUCAUCUUUAAAGCUCAAAAUGAAAUGAAGUUUUUUAUUUCAAACCAUCGAUAAUAGCCAGCUUCUGCGCUUCUCUCUGCUUCUC
Molecule: long non-coding RNA, 379 nt
Organism: Telopea speciosissima
Lineage: Eukaryota; Viridiplantae; Streptophyta; Magnoliopsida; Proteales; Proteaceae
Exons: 3
Source: RefSeq, a predicted model, not a curated record